UACAGAGGUCUCAAGCGUUGUUCGGAUUUAUUGGGCGUAAAGGGCGCGUAGGCGGCGGGGUAAGUCGGGUGUGAAAUCUCAGGGCUCAACCCUGAAACUGCACUUGAUACUGCUCUGCUUGAGGACUGGAGAGGAGACUGGAAUUCACGGUGUAGCAGUGAAAUGCGUAGAUAUCGUGAGGAAGACCAGUGGCGAAGGCGGGUCUCUGGACAGUUCCUGACGCUGAGGCGCGAAGGCCAGGGGAGCAAACGGG
RNAcentral lists this ribosomal RNA (253 nucleotides) under uncultured bacterium. RNAcentral's name for it is "partial 16S ribosomal RNA". It matches the Rfam family "Bacterial small subunit ribosomal RNA", at positions 524 to 776 of the family's 1533-position model. The record is from RNAcentral.